AACGAACGCUGGCGGCAGGCCUAACACAUGCAAGUCGAACGCCGUAGCAAUACGGAGUGGCAGACGGGUGAGUAACGCGUGGGAACAUACCCCUCGGUUCGGAAUAACUCAGGGAAACUUGAGCUAAUACCGGAUACGUCCGAGGUUUUAAUCGGCCUAGGAGAAAGAUUUAUCGCCGGAGGAUUGGCCCGCGUCUGAUUAGCUAGUUGGUGAGGUAAUGGCUCACCAAGGCGACGANCAGUAGCUGGUCUGAGAGGAUGAUCAGCCACAUUGGGACUGAGACACGGCCCAAACUCCUACGGGAGGCAGCAGUGGGGAAUAUUGGACAAUGGGCGAAAGCCUGAUCCAGCCAUGCCGCGUGAGUGAUGAAGGCCUUAGGGUGUAAGCUCUUUACCCGAGAAGAUAAUGACGGUACCGGGAGAAUAAGCCCCGGCUAACUUCGUGCCAG
This 448-nucleotide ribosomal RNA is filed under the name uncultured bacterium. RNAcentral describes it as "bacterial SSU rRNA". It matches the Rfam family "Bacterial small subunit ribosomal RNA", at positions 29 to 511 of the family's 1533-position model. The record is from RNAcentral.